RNAcentral lists this ribosomal RNA (630 nucleotides) under uncultured Clostridia bacterium. Its description in RNAcentral is "bacterial SSU rRNA". It matches the Rfam family "Bacterial small subunit ribosomal RNA", at positions 252 to 896 of the family's 1533-position model. The record is from RNAcentral. Lineage: Bacteria; Bacillati; Bacillota; Clostridia.
GUGAGUGUAACGGCCCACCAAAGGCUGGCCGAUGUGGUAACCGGCCUGAGAGGGUGAACAGGUCACAUUGGAACUGAGACACGGUCCAGACUCCUACGGGAGGCAGCAGUGGGGAAUAUUGCACAAUGGAGGGAACUCUGAUGCAGCGACGCCGCGUGAGCGAUGAAGGAAUUCGUUUCGUAAAGCUCUGUUCUAUGGGAAGAAAAGGACUGUACCAUAGGAGAGAGCCCCGGCUAAAUACGUGCCAGCAGCCGCGGUAAUACGUAUGGGGCGAGCGUUGUCCGGAAUUAUUGGGCGUAAAGGGUACGCAGGCGGUUUACCAAGUUGGAUGUGAAAUCUUGUAGCUCAACUACAAACGUGCAUCCAAAACUGGCUAACUUGAGUUAAGGAGAGGUAAGUGGAAUUCCUGGUGUACGGUGGAAUGCGUAGAUAUCAGGAGGAAUACCGGUGGCGAAGGCGACUUACUGGACUUAUACUGACGCUGAGGUACGAAAGCGUGGGGAGCAAACAGGAUUAGAUACCCUGGUAGUCCACGCCGUAAACGAUGAGUGCUAGGUGUCGGGGGUCAAACCUCGGUGCCGACGUUAACACAUUAAGCACUCCGCCUGAGGGAGUACGUGCGCAAGCAUG